Molecule: long non-coding RNA, 1145 nt
Organism: Gossypium raimondii (Peruvian cotton)
Lineage: Eukaryota; Viridiplantae; Streptophyta; Magnoliopsida; Malvales; Malvaceae
Exons: 3
Source: RefSeq, a predicted model, not a curated record
UCCCCCAUCUAUCGAAAUCCCUAAUCAGUUAGAGCCAAAGAGAGCAUUUCGUCGAUUUCUUACCCCGAUUCCUCGAUUGGUUUUUUUAGUUACAAGGAAAAGCUUUAGUUUUUCGAUUUCUUGCAAACUUACAUAACCCACACAGAGAAGACAAAGAAGGUGGUAGUCGGAUUCUGUUUUUUGGUGAAUCAGUAUUUAAGGGUUUUUUCGUGGCUUUUUUUUGUCUUCAUCAUUGUCAAGGUACUGUAAUGCUUUCAUUUCUUUUAUAUUGGGAAUGCGCACAUUGCUUUCUUGACGGUGUUGGAUGAAUUUUAGGGUUUUCUGAAGUGAAAUAGUCUUCUCUGUGUAUAGGGUUUUCUGAUUGUUGAUUUUUAAAAAGACAUUAUUCAUAAUCUGGUUUGGCACAUUAGUUAAGCAUAUGAGUUUCUUCAGUUGAGAGAUUUACGAAUUGCACAUUUAAGCAUAAUCUGGUUUGGCACAUCAUUUGCACUUUUAAGCAUAAUCUGUUUUUGGUGGCCCGUCAACUGCUUUCCCUGACAUACAACAUUAGAAUUCUAUGUUAUAUACACUUUGAACCUUUUUGCAUUCAGCAUUGACUUGAAAACUGGGAAUCUAAGCUCAGAAAUUGUGAAUGGAUCAAGUGGCACCUCAUACCCUGACAUGCAACAUUAGGAUUCAAUGUUAUAUACACUUUGAACCUUUCUGCAUUCAGCAUUGACUAGAAAACUAAGAAUCUAAGCUCAGAAAUUGUGACGGUAUCAAGUGGCACCUCAUAUAGCAUGCAUCAAAUGUUAUUUUGAUUUGUAUCUUGUCUCCCUCAUCCAUAGGCAUAUGAUGUAUUCUAAAGAAUCAUUCAGUUUUUGGGUGUUUUUCACCAUUCAUAUUUGUGGUUGGUUAUAAUAGACAUUGAAUGGUUCCUCAUUAAUUUAAAAAAUUUUCAGGGAGUGCCUUAAGCUUAUUCCACACGAGAAGUUUUCUUUUGCAAAUGUUAUAAUAGACGUUGAAUGUUUUUCACCAAUCUCUCUCGGGUUCGGAUCUCUGAACCCACCAAUCGUAUCUACAAGCAAGAAUGCUGCCUCUCCUUCGAUUCUCCGAGGUCAGAAGGAGGAUUAUUUGUUGUUAAUUGGUUGUUUUUUUAAUUAAUC